Molecule: ribosomal RNA, 567 nt
Filed under: Triticum aestivum (bread wheat)
Lineage: Eukaryota; Viridiplantae; Streptophyta; Magnoliopsida; Poales; Poaceae
Description: partial small subunit ribosomal RNA
Source: RNAcentral
AUGGGCUUCACUGAUCAUAGCCCAUUUGUGCUAGGAAGCCCAGAUUCUUUCCAACCUUCAUGUGGUCUCAAGCAAGGGGAUCCUCUGUCUCCUUACCUGUUCCUGUUUGUGGUUGAGGCACUUUCGUUAUUACUUCAUGAUGCUACGGCGAAUGGGGCAAUUCAGGAUUUCCAGCUGAACAGAAUGCUCCAGUGUAGUCUGGAAGAUCAAGAUUCUAUUUUGGUGAUUCUCAAAAUCACCACUGAUGGUUUUGAGGAUAAAUAUCUUGGUUUACCUGUGACGGAAGGGCAUAUGAAGGCCGACAAAUUUCAGUCUACAAAAGAUAAAGCGCUUAAGCGGGUUUCAGACUGGAUAGAAAAAUAUGCUUCUAGCGGAGUGAAGGAACUCCAGAUUAAGUCAGUCGUACAUGCUCUUCCGGUCUUUGCCAUGGGUAUUUUUAAAUUUCCUACUUCUCUCUGUGAGGAGUUAUCCCAGAUCAUUAGGAAUUUUUGGUGGGGUGACGAGGAGAAUAGGAAGAAAACUCAUUGGCUGGCGUGGGAUAAAAUGACAAGACCCAAAGGAGAAUGA